AACGCGAAGAACCUUACCUACUCUUGACAUCCAGAGAACUUUCCAGAGAUGGAUUGGUGCCUUCGGGAACUCUGAGACAGGUGCUGCAUGGCUGUCGUCAGCUCGUGUUGUGAAAUGUUGGGUUAAGUCCCGCAACGAGCGCAACCCUUAUCCUUGUUUGCCAGCGAGUAAUGUCGGGAACUCCAGGGAGACUGCCGGUGAUAAACCGGAGGAAGGUGGGGACGACGUCAAGUCAUCAUGGCCCUUACGAGUAGGGCUACACACGUGCUACAAUGGCGCAUACAGAGGGCGGCCAACUUGCGAAAGUGAGCGAAUCCCAAAAAGUGCGUCGUAGUCCGGAUCGGAGUCUGCAACUCGACUCCGUGAAGUCGGAAUCGCUAGUAAUCGUGGAUCAGAAUGCCACGGUGAGUACGUUCCCGGGCCUUGUACACACCGCCCGUCACACCAUGGGAGUGGGCUGCAAAAGAAGUAGGUAGUUUAACCUUCGGGGGGACGCUUACCACUUUGUGGUUCAUGACUGGGGUGAAGUCGUAACAAGGUA
Molecule: ribosomal RNA, 541 nt
Filed under: Vibrio parahaemolyticus
Lineage: Bacteria; Pseudomonadati; Pseudomonadota; Gammaproteobacteria; Vibrionales; Vibrionaceae
Description: bacterial SSU rRNA
Rfam family: Bacterial small subunit ribosomal RNA
Source: RNAcentral